GUUAGGAAUAUUGGGCAAUGGAGGAAACUCUGACCCAGCAACGCCGCGUGAAGGAAGAAGGUUUUCGGAUUGUAAACUUCUGAUCUAAGGGACGAAGAAAGUGACGGUACCUUAGGAGAAAGCCACGGCUAACUACGUGCCAGCAGCCGCGGUAAUACGUAGGUGGCGAGCGUUGUCCGGAAUAACUGGGCGUAAAGGGAGCGUAGGUGGUUGAUUAAGUUAAAUGUGAAAGCCCAGGGCUCAACUCUGGAACUGCAUUUAAUACUGGUCGGCUAGAGUACAGGAGGGGUAAACGGAAUUUCUAGUGUAGCGGUGAAAUGCGUAGAUAUUAGGAAGAACACCGGAGGCGAAGGCGGUUUACUGGACUGCAACUGACACUGAGGCUCGAAAGCGUGGGGAGCAAACAGGA
RNAcentral lists this ribosomal RNA (409 nucleotides) under uncultured bacterium. Its description in RNAcentral is "bacterial SSU rRNA". It matches the Rfam family "Bacterial small subunit ribosomal RNA", at positions 354 to 777 of the family's 1533-position model. The record is from RNAcentral.